CUACGGGUUGCUCCAGUGAGGAAUAUUGCACAAUGGGGGGAACCCUGAUGCAGCAACGCCGCGUGGAGGAUGACGCAUUUCGGUGUGUAAACUCCUUUUAUAUGUCAAGAAAAUGACGGUAGCAUAUGAAUAAGCACCGGCUAACUCCGUGCCAGCAGCCGCGUGUAAUACGGAGGGUGCAAGCGUUACUCGGAAUCACUGGGCGUAAAGGACGCGUAGGCGGGUUGGAAAGUCAGGUGUGAAAUCCUACAGCUUAACUGUAGAACUGCACUUGAAACUUCUAAUCUAGAGUAUGGGAGGGGGAGAUGGAAUUAGUGGUGUAGGGGUAAAAUCCGUAGAUAUCACUAGGAAUACCUAAAGCGAAGGCGAUCUCCUGGAACAUUACUGACGCUAAGGCGUGAAAGCGUGGGGAGCAAACAGGAUUAGAUACCCGGGUAGUC
RNAcentral lists this ribosomal RNA (440 nucleotides) under uncultured bacterium. RNAcentral describes it as "partial 16S ribosomal RNA". It matches the Rfam family "Bacterial small subunit ribosomal RNA", at positions 339 to 795 of the family's 1533-position model. The record is from RNAcentral.